GGUUCCUUGGUGUAAUGGUUAGUACUCUGGACACUGAAUCCAGUGAUCCUAGUUCAUAUCUUCGUGGAACCU
This 72-nucleotide transfer RNA is filed under the name Pangasianodon hypophthalmus (striped catfish). It matches the Rfam family "tRNA". Rfam says of the family: Transfer RNA (tRNA) molecules are approximately 80 nucleotides in length. The record is from Rfam by way of RNAcentral. Lineage: Eukaryota; Metazoa; Chordata; Actinopteri; Siluriformes; Pangasiidae.